Molecule: ribosomal RNA, 535 nt
Filed under: uncultured bacterium
Lineage: Bacteria
Description: bacterial SSU rRNA
Rfam family: Bacterial small subunit ribosomal RNA
Source: RNAcentral
AGAGUUUGAUCAUGGCUCAGGAUGAACGCUGGCGGCGUGCUUAACACAUGCAAGUCGAACGAAUUACUUUAAAAGAAGUCUUCGGAUGGAAAAUAAAGUAGUUAGUGGCGGACGGGUGAGUAACGCGUGGGAAACCUGCCCUAUACAGGGGGAUAGCCUCGGGAAACCGGGAUUAAUACCCCAUAAAGCUCUAGAAUCGCAUGAUUCAAGAGUCAAAACUCCGGUGGUAUAGGAUGGUCCCGCGUACCAUUAGCUAGUAGGUGGGGUAAUGGCCUACCUAGGCGACGAUGGUUAGCGGGUCUGAGAGGAUGAUCCGCCACACUGGCACUGGAACACGGGCCAGGCUCCUACGGGAGGCAGCAGUGAGGAAUAUUGCGCAAUGGGGGAAACCCUGACGCAGCGACGCCGCGUGAGUGAGGAAGGCCUUCGGGUCGUAAAGCUCUGUCAAGAGGAAAGAAGUGUACAAUGGCUAAUACCUGUUGUAUUUGACGGUACCUCUAAAGGAAGCACCGGCUAACUCCGUGCCAGCCGCGGC